AACAAAUAUUAAAGGCAAUGCCUGCCCAGUGAGUAAUUAAACGGCCGCGGUACCCUAACCGUGCAAAGGUAGCAUAAUCAUUUGUCUAUUAACUGUAGACCUGUAUGAAAGGCAAAAUGAGGGUUUAACUGUCUCUUAUAAUAAAUCUAUUAAACUGAUCUCCCAGUAAAAAAGCUGGAAUACCACCAUAAGACCAGAAGACCCUGUGAAGCUUUAACUAAAUUAUUAAACCAUAUAAUAACUACUUUAGGUUGGGGCGACCUUGGAAACAAAAAGAACUUCCAACGAAUACACUAACUUACCCAGGCCAACAAGCCAAUUAAUGACCCAGUAAAACUGAUAAACGAACAAAGUUACUCCAGGGAUAACAGCGCUAUCUUCUUCAAGAGCCCAUAUCAAAAAGAAGGUUUACGACCUCGAUGUUGGAUCAGGACAUCCCAAUGGUGCAACCGCUAUUAAAGGUUCGUUUGUUCAACGAUUAAUGUCCU
Molecule: ribosomal RNA, 488 nt
Filed under: Rhabdophis chrysargos (Specklebelly keelback)
Lineage: Eukaryota; Metazoa; Chordata; Lepidosauria; Squamata; Natricidae
Description: partial large subunit ribosomal RNA
Rfam family: Bacterial large subunit ribosomal RNA
Source: RNAcentral